Molecule: ribosomal RNA, 498 nt
Filed under: uncultured bacterium
Lineage: Bacteria
Description: partial 16S ribosomal RNA
Rfam family: Bacterial small subunit ribosomal RNA
Source: RNAcentral
GAAGAACGCUAGCUACAGGCUUAACACAUGCAAGUCGAGGGGUAGCAGGGUAGCAAUACCGCUGACGACCGGCGCACGGGUGAGUAACACGUAUCCAACCUUCCCAUAACUCGGGGAUAGCCUUUCGAAAGAAAGAUUAAUACCCGAUAGUACUUAACAAAGGCAUCCUUGAUAAGUUAAAGAUUUAUUGGUUAUGGAUGGGGUUGCGUUCCAUUAGAUAGUUGGUGAGGUAACGGCUCACCAAGUCUUCGAUGGAUAGGGGUUCUGAGAGGAAGGUCCCCCACAUUGGUACUGAGACACGGACAAAACUCCUACGGGAGGCAGCAGUGAGGAAUAUUGGUCAAUGGGCGAGAGCCUGAACCAGCCAAGUAGCGUGAAGGAUGAAGGUCCUAUGGAUUGUAAACUUCUUUUAUAGUAGAAUAAAUGGAUCCACGUGUGGAUUUUUGUAUGUAUACUAUGAAUAAGGAUCGGCUAACUCCGUGCCAGCAGCCGCCGUAA